Dendronephthya gigantea is the source of this 202-nucleotide long non-coding RNA. RefSeq lists it as uncharacterized. The record is from RefSeq and is a predicted model, not a curated record. NCBI's taxonomy places the organism in Eukaryota, Metazoa, Cnidaria, Anthozoa, Malacalcyonacea, Nephtheidae. The transcript is spliced from 3 exons.
AGCUUUUACGGAUUACACAACAUUUGCAGAUGUUAUAUCAGGACCGCCAAAACUGGAUGAUUUAUCUGAAGAUUUGCAAGACCUAAUGAGAAAAUUAUUUAGCAUGGACCCAGCGGCCCGACCAAGUAUAAAAAAAGUUGCAAAGCACUCCUGGUUGCGAGUAAAGCGUUCAUUUACUGAACGACUGUCAUCCUUUUUCCGU